AUGUUACGAUCCCUUUGCCGGGGUAACUUGUUAACAUUAACCUAUGAAAAUUGUAUAAAUACCACGCAAUACUGCUACAUGCUAUAAAUUAUUAGAAAAGACUAAACUUGGGUAUAACUUGACCUGUAUAUAAUAAAAUAUGUAUAUGUUAAUCUUAUAAAAUGGGCCCCAGAAUUCUGUAUGUGUAUAUUGUGUUCCUUCUGUGCCUUACAUGCCUGUAUUGUCGCGAUUUUUUACACUUUAAGAAAUUUGUGAUUUUAUAUUUUUUUGGUGAUUCGAAGGCCAGACCUUAGCGUUGAGAAUACACCCAAUGUACUAGCAUUUACACUGCUCUUAACUAAACAAACAAUACCUAAAAGUAAUAAUAGUAAAACAAACAUAAUUCUUUGCUAAAUAACCUCUAUUUUAACUACUUAUUAAUAAAUAUUUUUAAAAGUCUCUUUAAAAACAUAAACGUUUGUCUUUUAUGACACAAUGUACUAAACUACUUGACAAGACAUGAAAAUAUGUCUUAGUCGUGCUAUCUAUGAGAAAAUUCCUAACAUUUACAACACAUUUUUGCAUCUUAUCAAUUUUCAAUAGAAUUUGUUACUGACCAAUUUUCUAUUUCGUUAAUAUUGUGACACGUUCGCUAUAAAUACUGUUAAUUAAUUAAUUUCUUUACAUUUCUAUUGAGCUGACAAAAUGAAAUCCUUCAUUGUGUUUGUUAUUGUACAGGCUGUUGCACUGAGCGUAAAUGCACAGUGUCUUCGCUCAUGCGGACCUAACUUUGCUCCCGUGGCGGCGCCUAUUGCUGCUCCGCUGGUUGGCCCCUUAGCCGCUGCACUGGCAGGACCUUGCGUUAGCCCUGCCGUAGCCCCAACCCUCUCCGCUCUUACUGCUCUUGGGCCUAACGCGGUCGCAAACAGUCUUGCUGAUACCCUCUCUCUACUCACCGUUAGCAGCUUGCUUGCUGAGAAGUUACCUCUGGGGUACCCCGCGGUGGGACCAGUUGGAUGCGGUUGUGGUAAUCCAUUGGGCUACUCCUAUGUGGUUUAAGUAGUUUGAUUUUCAGAGUACGUCGUCCAAAAGUAAUUAUGUAAAAUCAAAUGCAUCUAAGCUUGAUGGCGAAGUUUUUAAAAUGUAAAAAAAAACACAAUUUUGGCAACAUUUAAAUUUGAGAUUUCCUUUCUAUAAUAUUUGUUUUUGUAUGAAAUUGUAUUUUUGUCUGUAGUACAUAAUAUUUUUUGAUUAGAACAAAUAUAUAUCGUUUAACAAA
Molecule: long non-coding RNA, 1258 nt
Organism: Pieris brassicae (large cabbage white)
Lineage: Eukaryota; Metazoa; Arthropoda; Insecta; Lepidoptera; Pieridae
Exons: 2
Source: RefSeq, a predicted model, not a curated record